RNAcentral lists this ribosomal RNA (324 nucleotides) under uncultured eukaryote. RNAcentral's name for it is "partial 18S ribosomal RNA". It matches the Rfam family "Eukaryotic small subunit ribosomal RNA", at positions 1470 to 1796 of the family's 1831-position model. The record is from RNAcentral.
CCCUUAGAUGUUCUGGGCUGCACGCGCGCUACACUGAAGCUAUCAACACGUUUUCCCUCCCUGAGAAGGGCGGGUAACCUUUUGAAUCAGCUUCGUGGUAGGGAGCGGGGCUUGCAAUUGUUCCCCGUGAACCAGGAAUUCCUAGUAGACGCGAGUCAUAAGCUCGCAUCGAUUAAGUCCCUGCCCUUUGUACACACCGCCCGUCGCUACUACCGAUUGAACGUUUUAGUGAGGCAUUUGGACCGACGCAUCUCAGUUUAACCGCUGGUUUGUGUUGGAAAGACUUCCAAACUUGAGCGUUUAGAGGAAGUAAAAGUCGUAACA